AUCUACAGAUUGCGGUUUUCUCAUCUGUAACAUAACAUGGUUGGAUGAGCUUAUAAAAGUUUUCUUCAUGACCUAAAACCUUUUUCUCUAUGUUUCCACGGAUCCAAGUGUCCAUUCAUGUCCGUGAUACCUUUCAACUCAAAAUGAACAACUAGAUGUCCCCACUGCUCUGGAUAGAGCAAAAGGGCAAAGAGAGGAAGAGGCCAAAGGAACAGCAGAGGGAUGAGAACUGAGGAGGGGAAGCUAUGGAAAAGAAGAGAAACACUGCAGAGCUGGUAAUGAGCAGCAGGGGCAAAAAUGGAAAGAAGUCCAUCAGAAAUAGCUUUUGAAAAUGGAAGCUGGGUGGAUUGGUCACCCUGAACACAUUUGCCUUGGGUAUCCAGUGAGUCAACUUCUGGAAGUUAGCUUGCCUAUGGAUGGACAGGAAGUUGACAAUGGGUGAGUUAAGGGGGAAAAGGGAAGCCCAAAAAACUAAAGAUGU
Long non-coding RNA from Mustela erminea (ermine), 481 nucleotides. RefSeq lists it as uncharacterized. Lineage: Eukaryota; Metazoa; Chordata; Mammalia; Carnivora; Mustelidae. The record is from RefSeq and is a predicted model, not a curated record. The transcript is spliced from 3 exons.